This 906-nucleotide long non-coding RNA is filed under the name Athene cunicularia (burrowing owl). RNAcentral's name for it is "lncRNA (ENSACUG00000006369.1)". Lineage: Eukaryota; Metazoa; Chordata; Aves; Strigiformes; Strigidae. The record is from RNAcentral.
UCAGAGCAGAGUGAUGUGCUGCCUGAUGUCCCUCUGCUUCCUCCCUCCCCAGGCACACUGUUGCCUCCACAGGAUGUGAGGCUGGAGGCACAAAACUUCCACAUCCAUCUGCGGUGGGAACCGGCCCCUGGCUCGCCCAGUGGUACCACAUACCAGGUGGAAUGGAGGAGACGAAUCCCUCACUGGACCAAGGCAGAUACCUGCUGGGGGAACAGCACCGGCUCCUCCUGGGCAUGUGAGCUGUAUUUUGACAAGAUCCAUGAUAUCUACUGGGCAAGGGUGAGAGCGGUGGCCAGAGGCGAGCUGUCCAGGUGGGCCUAUUCCAGCGAGCUGCAGCCAUACAGAGACACAAUUGUGGGCCCCCCCAAGUUGUCCUGGCUGUUCCAGGAUCACAUCCUCAGCGUAAAUAUCAUCAUGCCACUCACUCCCUACCGAAGCAAAAACGGCUCUUACAAGCCAGUUGACCAAGUUCUGCUGAAGCUGUGGUACUGGCUGUGUCUGUACGAAGGGGAUGUGCUCGUCCAGCAAGUGCCCUGCAAACAGAGUGGGGAGGAAGGGCCAUGCACCUUCAGGUUCCUCAAGCCCAGCACACAGUACUGUGUCCGGACGGUGGCUGCGGACAUGGCCAAGGAGCAGAGCCGGGAGGCUGAGCAGUGCAUGGUGACACCAGCAGGCCCUGCAGGCUUUCCCUGGGUCGUCGUUGCUGUGCUGAGUGGUGUCUUCCUGCUGCUGAGCGUGGCCGGGCUCUGCUUUGUCCAGCUGUACGUCUUCCCCCGCCCCUCGGAGAUGCAACUCCCCAAAAUACUUGUGAGUGAACAGUCCCCUUCCAGCCUCUGCCCUGCAUGUGCUGCAGCCAAGCUGGCGUCCUCUGCAUUUGCAGAGGGCUCAGCACCUCCUUCAUUCCAC